CAAAAGUCUCCGGGCAAUUAUCAUUCAUAAGCACAUAUGCUCGCGCAGCAGAUGUUUCGACAAGGUCGUUGCGCACCUCUGUGAAAAUAUGUUCAUCCUUAAGAAAACUUAAAGAUUCUAAACCAGAGAAAUUCCGGUCGUAGACACACCUGAAAGAGAAUGAAGCAACACAGUCACGUCUCUAUAACAUUUCAAUGACACAGUAAUUUCCUUUGAUGCCUUUAUAGUUAGCCGUAUUCUCAGUUAUGUUCAAAUUCCCUUUUAGGGCUGACUACAUGAGCCCGGUAGCCGGGAUUCAGCCAAGCGUUAAAUGAUUUUUGCAAAUGGAAACGAUUCAAUACUUAUCAUCAGAUAAAUCUUCUCAAGCAAUUUUACAACAUUCUGAUUUAAUAACUUCUCAAAACAUUUAAAAUUGAAACAACCAAUUUGCCAUAAUUUGAGAAUUAAAACCGGAGUGACGUGUGGUGCUUCGCAAAAAGUUGUAACUUUUAAACUUGAA
Long non-coding RNA from Xenia sp. Carnegie-2017, 499 nucleotides. RefSeq lists it as uncharacterized. Lineage: Eukaryota; Metazoa; Cnidaria; Anthozoa; Malacalcyonacea; Xeniidae. The transcript is spliced from 2 exons. The record is from RefSeq and is a predicted model, not a curated record.